Molecule: unclassified non-coding RNA, 174 nt
Filed under: Exophiala spinifera
Lineage: Eukaryota; Fungi; Ascomycota; Eurotiomycetes; Chaetothyriales; Herpotrichiellaceae
Description: sequence contains ITS2
Source: RNAcentral
UCACCCCUCAAGCCCCCGGCUUGGUGUUGGACGGUUUGGUCCCGGGACCCCCCUGGACCCCUCCCAAAGACAAUGACGGCGGGCUGUCGCACCCCCGGUACACUGAGCAUCUUCACGGAGCACGUACCGGUCUUCAGGGACGACGGCACCCGGUCUCACACCUAUAUCUUUCAA